Molecule: ribosomal RNA, 253 nt
Filed under: uncultured bacterium
Lineage: Bacteria
Description: partial 16S ribosomal RNA
Rfam family: Bacterial small subunit ribosomal RNA
Source: RNAcentral
UACAGAGGGGGCAAGCGUUGUUCGGAAUUACUGGGCGUAAAGCGCACGUAGGUGGCGACGUAAGUCGGGUGUGAAAGCCCCGGGCUCAACCUGGGAAUUGCAUUCGAGACUGCAUUGCUGGAGUACGGAAGAGGAGGGCGGAAUUCCCGGUGUAGCGGUGAAAUGCGUAGGUAUCGGGAGGAACAUCAGUGGCGAAGGCGGCCCUCUGGUCCAGUACUGACACUCAAGUGCGAAAGCGUGGGGAGCAAACAGG